AACGCGAAGAACCUUACCAAGCCUUGACAUCCAAUGAACUUUCUAGAGAUAGAUUGGUGCCCUCGGGAACAUUAAGACAGAUGCUGCAUGGCUGUCGUCAGCUCGUGUCGUGAAAUGUUAGGUUAAGUCCCGUAACGAGCGCAACCCUUGUCCUUAGUUACCAGCACGUAAUGGUGGGCACUCUAAGGAGACUGCCGGUGACAAACCGGAGGAAGGUGGGGAUGACGUCAAGUCAUCAUGGCCCUUACGGCCUGGGCUACACACGUGCUACAAUGGUCGGUACAAAGGGUUGCCAAGCCGCGAGGUGGAGCUAAUCCCAUAAAACCGAUCGUAGUCCGGAUCGCAGUCUGCAACUCGACUGCGUGAAGUCGGAAUCGCUAGUAAUCGCGAAUCAGAAUGUCGCGGUGAAUACGUUCCCGGGUCUUGUACACACCG
This 435-nucleotide ribosomal RNA is filed under the name uncultured bacterium. RNAcentral's name for it is "bacterial SSU rRNA". It matches the Rfam family "Bacterial small subunit ribosomal RNA", at positions 958 to 1392 of the family's 1533-position model. The record is from RNAcentral.